This 496-nucleotide ribosomal RNA is filed under the name uncultured bacterium. RNAcentral describes it as "partial 16S ribosomal RNA". It matches the Rfam family "Bacterial small subunit ribosomal RNA", at positions 28 to 507 of the family's 1533-position model. The record is from RNAcentral.
GAUGAACGCUGGCGGCGUGCCUAAUACAUGCAAGUCGAGCGAACGGACGAGAAGCUUGCUUCUCUGAUGUUAGCGGCGGACGGGUGAGUAACACGUGAUAACCUACCUAUAAGACUGGGAUAACUUCGGGAAACCGGAGCUAAUACCGGAUAAUAUUUUGAACCGCAUGGUUCAAAAGUGAAAGACGGUCUUGCUGUCACUUAUAGAUGGAUCCGCGCUGCAUUAGCUAGUUGGUAAGGUAACGGCUUACCAAGGCAACGAUGCAUAGCCGACCUGAGAGGGUGAUCGGCCACACUGGAACUGAGACACGGUCCAGACUCCUACGGGAGGCAGCAGUAGGGAAUCUUCCGCAAUGGGCGAAAGCCUGACGGGGCAACGCCGCGUGAGUGAUGAAGGUCUUCGGAUCGUAAAACUCUGUUAUUAGGGAAGAACAUAUGUGUAAGUAACUGUGCACAUCUUGACGGUACCUAAUCAGAAAGCCACGGCUAACUACGUG